RNAcentral lists this ribosomal RNA (468 nucleotides) under uncultured bacterium. Its description in RNAcentral is "partial 16S ribosomal RNA". It matches the Rfam family "Bacterial small subunit ribosomal RNA", at positions 28 to 507 of the family's 1533-position model. The record is from RNAcentral.
GACGAACGCUGGCGGCGUGCUUAACAAAUGCAAGUCGAACGGAAAGGCCCUGCUUUUGUGGGGUGCUCGAGUGGCGAAAGGGUGAGUAACACGUGAGUAACCUGCCCUUGACUUUGGGAUAACUUCAGGAAACUGGGGCUUAUACCGGAUAGGAGCUCCUGCUGCAUGGUGUGGGUUGGAAAGUUUCGGCGGUUGGUGAUGGACUCGCGGCUUAUCAGCUUGUUGGUGGGGUAGUGGCUUACCAAGGCUUUGACGGGUAGCCGGCCUGAGAGGGUGACCGGCCACAUUGGUACUGAGAUACGGCGCAGACUGCUACGGGAGGCAGCAGGGGGGAAUAUUGCACAAUGGGCGGAAGCCUGAUGCAGCAACGCCGCGUGCGGGAUGACGGCCUUCGGGUUGUAAACCGCUUUCGCCUGUGACGAAGCGUUAGUGACGGUAAUGGGUAAAGAAGCACCGGCUAACUACGUG